RNAcentral lists this transfer RNA (76 nucleotides) under Candidatus Doudnaibacteriota bacterium. Its description in RNAcentral is "Candidatus Doudnabacteria bacterium tRNA-Gly". It matches the Rfam family "tRNA". From Rfam's summary of the family: Transfer RNA (tRNA) molecules are approximately 80 nucleotides in length. Their secondary structure includes four short double-helical elements and three loops (D, anti-codon, and T loops). The record is from RNAcentral. Lineage: Bacteria; Candidatus Doudnaibacteriota.
GCGGCGGUAGUUCAGUUGGUAGAACGUCUCGUUGCCAACGAGAAGGUCGCCGGUUCGAGCCCGGUUCGCCGCUCCA